Molecule: ribosomal RNA, 526 nt
Filed under: uncultured bacterium
Lineage: Bacteria
Description: bacterial SSU rRNA
Rfam family: Bacterial small subunit ribosomal RNA
Source: RNAcentral
GACGAACGCUGGCGGCGUGCCUAACACAUGCAAGUCGAACGGUCCGGCACUCAACCGACCCUCAGUCUAGCUGUAGGUGAAGUUGAGUGCCGGAUAGUGGCGGACGGGUGAGUAACGCGUGGGCAACCAACCCUGUACAGUGGGAUAACACCGGGAAACCGGUGCUAAUACCGCAUGACACCUAGAUGGUGCAUACUGUUUAGGUUAAAGGAUUUAACCGGUACAGGACGGGCCCGCGUCCCAUUAGCUGGUUGGUGAGGUAACGGCUCACCAAGGCGACGAUGGGUAGCCGACCUGAGAGGGUGACCGGCCACACUGGGACUGAGACACGGCCCAGACUCCUACGGGAGGCAGCAGUGGGGAAUAUUGCGCAAUGGACGGAAGUCUGACGCAGCGACGCCGCGUGAGCGACGAAGGCCUUCGGGUCGUAAAGCUCUGUUCUUGGGGACGAAGGAAAUGACGGUACCCAAGGAGAAAGCCCCGGCUAACUACGUGCCAGCAGCCGCGGUAAAAAUAGCGUACUCUA